RNAcentral lists this ribosomal RNA (253 nucleotides) under uncultured bacterium. RNAcentral describes it as "partial 16S ribosomal RNA". It matches the Rfam family "Bacterial small subunit ribosomal RNA", at positions 524 to 776 of the family's 1533-position model. The record is from RNAcentral.
UACGUAGGGGGCUAGCGUUGUCCGGAAUCAUUGGGCGUAAAGCGCGUGUAGGCGGUCCGGUAAGUCCGCUGUGAAAGUCGGGGGCUCAACCCUCGAAUGCCGGUGGAUACUGUCGGACUAGAGUACGGAAGAGGCGAGUGGAAUUCCUGGUGUAGCGGUGAAAUGCGCAGAUAUCAGGAGGAACACCAAUUGCGAAGGCAGCUCGCUGGGACGUUACUGACGCUGAGACGCGAAAGCGUGGGGAGCAAACAGG